Molecule: ribosomal RNA, 274 nt
Filed under: uncultured bacterium
Lineage: Bacteria
Description: partial 16S ribosomal RNA
Rfam family: Bacterial small subunit ribosomal RNA
Source: RNAcentral
AUACGGAGGGUCCAAGCGUUAUCCGGAAUCAUUGGGUUUAAAGGGUUCGUAGGCGGGUCAAUAAGUCAGAGGUGAAAUCUUGCAGCUUAACUGUAAAAUUGCCUUUGAUACUGUUGACCUUGAAUUACUGUGAAGUGGUUAGAAUAUGUAGUGUAGCGGUGAAAUGCUUAGAGAUUACAUAGAAUACCGAUUGCGAAGGCAGAUCACUAACAGUAUAUUGACGCUGAUGAACGAAAGCGUGGGUAGCGAACGGGAUUAGAAACCCUAGUAGUCC